This 1105-nucleotide long non-coding RNA is filed under the name Pogona vitticeps (central bearded dragon). Its description in RNAcentral is "lncRNA (ENSPVIG00000020436.1)". Lineage: Eukaryota; Metazoa; Chordata; Lepidosauria; Squamata; Agamidae. The record is from RNAcentral.
UUCCACACCAAAAGUUAGGAAGAUGGUGAUCUGACUCAUCUGCGGUGGUGUCAUUGGAAGGCAGAAAGAGGUGGAGCGAGAGAAGAAUAUCACACUUCUUGAGAUGCGCCAAAACCCGAGAACACCAAAGCUUGGAGUUUCAAAGGAAGAGCAAGAAAGAAAGAAAGAGUGAGAGAGUAAGUGUGUGUGUGUGUGAGAGAGAGAGAGAGAGAGAGAGAGAACGGGAAACCCUAAGUCUCUCGCUUAUAAAGUCUUGAGCGGCCCUCGGAGAGCAAGCAUAAGCCGUAUUGGUACAGAAGAAGGUUGAUCAAAGUUGGUGCCUGCCUGUCUUUGAAGAGCCGUCGGGAUGCCGAAGCGCAGCGCCUGCACCUCCUCCGCCGUCCUCUCCAUGGGUUGCUGGCUUCUGGUAACCUUCUGCCUAAACCUACCCAGUUCGUUGUUGGCUCACAGUAUCUAUACCAGAGGACUAGUAGCUAACGUAAGCAAUUGGUGGGAAAGUUCUGAAGACUUGAUGGAAGCAGCAGGUGUGGCACUGCAGCAGUUCAACAAGAAAGGAUUUCAAUGUAUUUUGCACAAUAUUCCCACUGAAAAUCCUAAGAAUGAAGAGAAGAUCGGGAAAGCAUGUAUGGCAGGAAAAUCAAUGCCUGGCUCCUGUUCUUCAGAAGAAAACAACACUGUUGAUGAGGCUGCCUGUAUAAAUACCAUCUAUAACAUUUUGAAUGCCUAUGCAGCGGAAAUCAAUGACCCAGAUCUUUCGAAUGCUAUCUAUCAUAUGAUGAAGACUUUGAAACCUGAAAAACCCAAGAUCUCAGAGCAACGGCUCUCCUCACCACAGGACAUAUUAAAUGAAAGUUUUGAAAUGGACAUGAAGCAAUGCAAGCUUUUGCUAGCUUUCCAACAGCUUGCUGAGACCAUCCACAGAUGCUUUAGCUACCAGAUGUCACUUGAAAUGUAAAUCUGAAGCUGAAAGAAAUAUUACUUGACAUUCCUUAUGCUGACUACUGUUUUUAGAAAUAAGCUUUCAAGUGCAGGAAUACUCCUGCUUUGGGAUAUUGCUAAUCCUGAACAUGGAUUUUAGCUAAAUAUUUAUUUAUUGAUAUGUAAG